GAUGAACGCUGGCGGCGUGCCUAAUACAUGCCAGUCGAGCGAACAGACGAGGAGCUUGCUCCUCUGACGUUAGCGGCGGACGGGUGAGUAACACGUGGAUAACCUACCUAUAAGACUGGGAUAACUUCGGGAAACCGGAGCUACUACCGGAUAAUAUAUUGAACCGCAUGGUUCAAUAGUGAAAGACGGUUUUGCUGUCACUUAUAGAUGGAUCCGCGCCUCAUUAGCUAGUUGGUAAGGUAACGGCUUACCAAGGCAACGAUGCGUAGCCGACCUGAGAGGGUGAACGGCCACACUGGAACUGAGACACGGGCCAGACUCCUACGGGAGGCAGCAGUAGGGAAACUUCCGCAAUGGGCGAAAGCCUGGCGGAGCAACGCCGGGUGAGUGAUGAAGGUCUUCGGAGCGUAAAACUCUGUUAUGAGGGAAGAACAAAUGUGUAAGUAACUAUGCACGUCUUGACGGUACCUAAUCAGAAAGCCACGGCUAACUACGUG
RNAcentral lists this ribosomal RNA (497 nucleotides) under uncultured bacterium. Its description in RNAcentral is "partial 16S ribosomal RNA". It matches the Rfam family "Bacterial small subunit ribosomal RNA", at positions 28 to 507 of the family's 1533-position model. The record is from RNAcentral.